CAAACUCCGGGGUCAGUUCUUGUGGCCCCAGUGGCACCAGUGGCGGGGAAGCCGGGUGCUCCAGUGACCCACCCAGGGAAUGAUGAUGAAACGAGUGAGGAUGAAGCCACAGUAAAGUGGCUUCGUCAGGAGACGUGUGUCUGUGAGAAAUGCUCUGUAGAGUUCUUUAGCAUCUCCGAGUUCCUGGAACAUAAGAAAAAAAUCACACUAAAAAUCUACCUGUUCUCAUGAAUGACAGCGAGAGGCCAGUGUCUUCAGAGGACUUCUCCAGAGCUGUACUUAGCUACCAACCACCCAGUCCAAGCAGUGAGUGAAGCCAGUUGUGGACUCUGUGAUGUACCUAAAGACAGAGACUGUCCUGCCGCCACCCCCAAGACAUAAUUUAUUUACCCAAAGGCAAAGUGGCCAACACAAAUGUGAUCUUGCAGGCACUAUGAGACACCAAGAUGGUGAUGAAUCAGCAGAGUGCAGAUGCGCUGCCUGUCCCAGCACCCAUGUGUGCUUGAGCAGAUCCUAUGUCUGCAGAAGGAGGUACAGCAGGUCCAGCUCACCCAGCAGAUCGCAUCCAGGUGCACAUGUGGACCUCCCAUGCUCUCCACUUUGGUGGUGGGCGACGACCUUGGGCAGUCGCAUGUCCCAGCAGGUUUCUAUGGCUGUGACUUUGCUCAGCCAGAAAGCUGGAAGCCAAGGUCUGUCUCCAGAUGCCUUGAAACAAGCCAAACUACUUCAAGCCAACAUCCCUUCUGCCAACAUUCCUUCUGCCACCAGCUCUCUGUCCCCAGUGCUGACGCCCUUUGCUCUGAAGCCAGAUGGAACCAGGUUGUUCCCAAACGUCAUGUCUCCUCUCGCAAGUGAUUUGCUUCCUCAGAUGCCGGGCUCGAUGCUCUUCCAGAGUCCUUUCUCCAUUGUCGCGCUAGAACCAUCCAAGAAAGGGAAGAGGAAGCCACCGAACAUCUCCACAGUCGACCUCAAACCCAAAGAUGAGGCGGUCCUCUACAAGCACAAGUGUCAGAGCAGUCUCCCUUCCGUGUUUAUCUGAUCCCUGCCAACCUAUGUCAAAGUUGAAGUUCCUGGCACCUUUGUGGGACCCUUAACAUUGUCCCCAGGAUGACCGCUUUGUUAGCAGCCCAGCCACGCCAACAGGCCAAGCAACAUGGCUGCAUGUGGUGUGGGAAGAACUUCUCGUCCACUGGUGCUCUUCGCAUUCACGGGUGGACCCACACUGGAGAGAAGUCUUUUGUAGGCAACAUUUGUGGGCGAGUUUUACCACCAAAGUCAACUUCAAGGUCCAUUACAUGAUCCACGGGGCGAACAAUAACUCAGCCCGCUGUGGGAGGAAGCUGGCCAUCGAGAACACCAUGGCUCUGUUAAGUACAGACAGAAAAAAGUCUCAGAAAUGUUUCCCAAGGAAAUCCUGGCCCCUUCGGUGAACGUGGACCCUGUUGUGUGGAACCAGUAGCCCAGCAUGCCGAGCGGCAGUCUGGCCAUGAAGACCAGUGAGAUCUCUGUGGUCCGGAGUGGGGGUGUUCCUAACCUCCUGCUUUCCUUGGGGGCCAGCUCCAUUGUGAAUAACACCACCGUCUUCAAGAUGGAUGGCUCCCAAUCAGGCAUCAGUGCAGAUGUGGAAAAACCAGGUGCUACUGACAGCGUUCCCUCACUUCCUGGAAGAAAACAAGAUUGCAGUCAGCUAA
This 1691-nucleotide long non-coding RNA is filed under the name Homo sapiens (human). RNAcentral's name for it is "non-protein coding lnc-TRAK1-7:1". The record is from RNAcentral. Lineage: Eukaryota; Metazoa; Chordata; Mammalia; Primates; Hominidae.